GUGGGAAUAGCUCAACUGGCAGAGCACCGGACUGUGGCUCCGACGGUUGCGGGUUCGAUUCCCGUUUCCCACCCCA
Molecule: transfer RNA, 76 nt
Filed under: Pseudolabrys sp.
Lineage: Bacteria; Pseudomonadati; Pseudomonadota; Alphaproteobacteria; Hyphomicrobiales; Xanthobacteraceae
Also listed under: 15 other names
Description: tRNA-His
Rfam family: tRNA
About the family: Transfer RNA (tRNA) molecules are approximately 80 nucleotides in length.
Source: RNAcentral